This 684-nucleotide ribosomal RNA is filed under the name Ustilago altilis. RNAcentral's name for it is "LSU rRNA". It matches the Rfam family "Eukaryotic large subunit ribosomal RNA", at positions 81 to 748 of the family's 3401-position model. The record is from RNAcentral. Lineage: Eukaryota; Fungi; Basidiomycota; Ustilaginomycetes; Ustilaginales; Ustilaginaceae.
UAGUAACGGCGAGUGAAGAGGGAAGAGCCCAAGAUUGAAAGCUGGCGUCUUCGGCGUCCGCUUUGUAAUCUCAAGAAGCGUUUUCCGCUUCGACCAUGCCUAAGUCCCUUGGAAAAGGGCAUCAUAGAGGGUGAUAAUCCCGUACAUGGCAUGGAGCGCCCGAAGCUUUGUGAUACGCUUUCUAAGAGUCGGGAAGUUUGGGAAUGCAGCUCAAAAUGGGUGGUAAAUGCCAUCUAAGGCUAAAUAUUGGGGAGAGACCGAUAGCGAACAAGUACAGUGAUGGAAAGAUGAAAAGAACUUUGAAAAGAGAGUUAAACAGUACGUGAAAUUGCCAAAAGGGAAGGGUAGGAGGUCAGAGAUGCGGCCUGGGAUUCAGCCUUGCUUUUGCUUGGUGUUUUUCCCAGGUUGCAGGCCAACGUCGGUUUUGGGCACUGGAGAAGGGUAGGAGGAAUGUGGCACCUCUUGGGGUGUGUUAUAGCCUCCUACUGGAUACAGCGACCGAGACCGAGGACAGCAGCGUACUCGCAAGAGCGGGCCUUCGGGCACCUUUACGCUUAGGGCGUUGGCAUAAUGGCCCUCUACCACCCGUCUUGAAACACGGACCAAGGAGUCUAACAUGUAUGCGAGUCUUUGGGUGGCAAACCCAUCGGCGCAAUGAAAGUGAAUUCAGGUGGGAUCCGCAAG